GAUCAUGGCUCAGGACGAACGCUGGCGGCGCGCCUAACACAUGCAAGUCGAACGAGAGAGAGGAAGCUUGCUUCCUCAAUCGAGUGGCGAACGGGUGAGUAACGCGUGAGGAACCUGCCUCAAAGAGGGGGACAACAGUUGGAAACGACUGCUAAUACCGCAUAAGCCCACGACCCGGCAUCGGGUUGAGGGAAAAGGAGCAAUCCGCUUUGAGGUGGCCUUGCGUCCGAUUAGCUAGUUGGUGAGG
RNAcentral lists this ribosomal RNA (247 nucleotides) under uncultured bacterium. Its description in RNAcentral is "partial 16S ribosomal RNA". It matches the Rfam family "Bacterial small subunit ribosomal RNA", at positions 15 to 257 of the family's 1533-position model. The record is from RNAcentral.